UCAGAACAUACUAUUUCUGGCAAGUAC
RNAcentral lists this small RNA (27 nucleotides) under Bombyx mori (domestic silkworm). RNAcentral's name for it is "ovarian small RNA-25530". The record is from RNAcentral. Lineage: Eukaryota; Metazoa; Arthropoda; Insecta; Lepidoptera; Bombycidae.